Molecule: long non-coding RNA, 351 nt
Filed under: Mustela putorius furo (domestic ferret)
Lineage: Eukaryota; Metazoa; Chordata; Mammalia; Carnivora; Mustelidae
Description: lncRNA (ENSMPUG00000029670.1)
Source: RNAcentral
CAGUAACUCCCCUUUACUGCCCAAGUUAGUUCAGUUUGGGUUUCUGUCACUUGUAAUUUAAAGAAGACAGAUUCCCUAAAAGGACAUUCCAGUGGAAGCCUAGGGAGUGUGAAGAGUACUGUGAGGAUAGCCUUUAAAUUGCCAUCUCUCUAACUACAUUUCUUCAAACAAUAUUGCCAUUGGAGCGGUAUCAAUCAGACAGGAUUGCCCUUGGACAUCAAAACUCUCAGAGACAGCCCUCGUGAAUAAAUUCUGAUUACUCCUGUAUUCCAAAGAGAAAAUGUAUUUUUUCAGACGGUUGUGAGCUGUGAGUGGGCAUUUAAUAAAAAAAUAAUAUCGACUUCUCAUUUG